UAGUUUGACUGGGGCGGUCUCCUCCUAAAGAGUAACGGAGGAGCACGAAGGUUGGCUAAUCCUGGUCGGACAUCAGGAGGUUAGUGCAAUGGCAUAAGCCAGCUUGACUGCGAGCGUGACGGCGCGAGCAGGUGCGAAAGCAGGUCAUAGUGAUCCGGUGGUUCUGAAUGGAAGGGCCAUCGCUCAACGGAUAAAAGGUACUCCGGGGAUAACAGGCUGAUACCGCCCAAGAGUUCAUAUCGACGGCGGUGUUUGGCACCUCGAUGUCGGCUCAUCACAUCCUGGGGCUGAAGUAGGUCCCAAGGGUAUGGCUGUUCGCCAUUUAAAGUGGUACGCGAGCUGGGUUUAGAACGUCGUGAGACAGUUCGGUCCCUAUCUGCCGUGGGCGCUGGAGAACUGAGGGGGGCUGCUCCUAGUACGAGAGGACCGGAGUGGACGCAUCACUGGUGUUCGGGUUGUCAUGCCAAUGGCACUGCCCGGUAGCUAAAUGCGGAAGAGAUAAGUGCUGAAAGCAUCUAAGCACGAAACUUGCCCCGAGAUGAGUUCUCCCUGAGACUUUAGGUCUCCUGAAGGAACGUUGAAGACGACGACGUUGAUAGGCCGGGUGUGUAAGCGCAGCGAUGCGUUGAGCUAACCGGUACUAAUGAACCGUGAGGCUUAACCUUACAACGCCGAAG
RNAcentral lists this ribosomal RNA (677 nucleotides) under Salmonella enterica. RNAcentral's name for it is "partial 23S ribosomal RNA". It matches the Rfam family "Bacterial large subunit ribosomal RNA", at positions 2266 to 2925 of the family's 2925-position model. Lineage: Bacteria; Pseudomonadati; Pseudomonadota; Gammaproteobacteria; Enterobacterales; Enterobacteriaceae. The record is from RNAcentral.